GACGAACGCUGGCGGCGUGCUUAACACAUGCAAGUCGAACGGUAAGGCCCUUCGGGGUACACGAGUGGCGAACGGGUGAGUAACACGUGGGUGAUCUGCCCUGCACUUCGGGAUAAGCCUGGGAAACUGGGUCUAAUACCGGAUAGGACCACUGCCUGCAUGGGUGUGUGGUGGAAAGCUUUUGCGGUGUGGGAUGGGCCCGCGGCCUAUCAGCUUGUUGGUGGGGUAAUGGCCUACCAAGGCGACGACGGGUAGCCGGCCUGAGAGGGUGACCGGCCACACUGGGACUGAGAUACGGCCCAGACUCCUACGGGAGGCAGCAGUGGGGAAUAUUGCACAAUGGGCGCAAGCCUGAUGCAGCGACGCCGCGUGAGGGAUGACGGCCUUCGGGUUGUAAACCUCUUUCAGUAGGGACGAAGCGCAAGUGACGGUACCUACAGAAGAAGGACCGGCCAACUACGUGCCAGCAGCCGCAGUAA
RNAcentral lists this ribosomal RNA (479 nucleotides) under uncultured bacterium. RNAcentral describes it as "partial 16S ribosomal RNA". It matches the Rfam family "Bacterial small subunit ribosomal RNA", at positions 28 to 523 of the family's 1533-position model. The record is from RNAcentral.